UACGUAGGGGGCAAGCGUUGUUCGGAUUUAUUGGGCGUAAAGAGCGUGUAGGCGGCCAGGUAGGUCAGCUGUGAAAACUCGAGGCUCAACCUCGAGACGUCGGUUGAAACCACCUGGCUAGAGUCCGGAAGAGGAGAGUGGAAUUCCUGGUGUAGCGGUGAAAUGCGCAGAUAUCAGGAAGAACACCCGUGGCGAAGGCGGCUCUCUGGGACGGUACUGACGCUGAGACGCGAAAGCGUGGGGAGCGAACAGG
RNAcentral lists this ribosomal RNA (253 nucleotides) under uncultured bacterium. RNAcentral describes it as "partial 16S ribosomal RNA". It matches the Rfam family "Bacterial small subunit ribosomal RNA", at positions 524 to 776 of the family's 1533-position model. The record is from RNAcentral.